RNAcentral lists this ribosomal RNA (811 nucleotides) under Haladaptatus sp. W1. RNAcentral describes it as "bacterial LSU rRNA". It matches the Rfam family "Archaeal large subunit ribosomal RNA", at positions 2177 to 2987 of the family's 2987-position model. Lineage: Archaea; Methanobacteriati; Methanobacteriota; Halobacteria; Halobacteriales; Haladaptataceae. The record is from RNAcentral.
UUUACUGCAGGCUGUCGCUGGGACGUGGUCGCUACUGUGCAGACAUAGGUAGGAGCCGCUACACAGGUAUCCGCGCUAGCGGAUCACCGAGGCAUCAGUGAAAUACUACCCGGUAGUGACUGCGACCCUCACUCCUGGCGGAGGACACCGGUAGCCAGGCAGUUUGACUGGGGCGGUACGCGCUCGAAAAGAUAUCGAGCGCGCCCCAAGAUUUCCUCACUCGGGUCGGAGACCCGAGGAAGAGCGCAAGAGCAAAAGGAAGUCUGACAGUGUCCUACACAACGAGGGACGCUGACGCGAAAGCGUGGUCUAGCGAACCAAUGAGGCUGCUUGUUGCGGCCCAUUGAUGACAGAAAAGCUACCUUAGGGAUAACAGAGUCGUCACCGGCAAGAGCACAUAUCGACCCGGUGGCUUGCUACCUCGAUGUCGGUUCCCUCCAUCCUGCCCGUGCAGAAGCGGGCAAGGGUGAGGUUGUUCGCCUAUUAAAGGAGGUCGUGAGCUGGGUUUAGACCGUCGUGAGACAGGUCGGCUGCUAUCUAUUGGGGGUGUUACGAUACUUGACGAGAACGUUCGUAUAGUACGAGAGGAACUACGAAUGGGUGCCACUGGUGUACCGGUCGUCCGAGAGGGCGCGUGCCGGGCAGCUACGCACCACGGGGUAAGAGCUGAACGCAUCUAAGCUCGAAACCCACUUGGAAAAGAAGUAUCACCGAGAUCACUCGUAGAAGACGAGUUCGAUAGGCUCGGGAUGUACGCGCCGAGGCAACGAGGCGUUCAGUCCGCGAGUACUAACAGAUCGACGCCACACAA